GGGAUAACACUUGGAAACAGGUGCUAAUACCGUAUAACACUAUUUUCCGCAUGGAAGAAAGUUGAAAGGCGCUUUUGCGUCACUGAUGGAUGGACCCGCGGUGCAUUAGCUAGUUGGUGAGGUAACGGCUCACCAAGGCCACGAUGCAUAGCCGACCUGAGAGGGUGAUCGGUCACACUGGGACUGAGACACGGCCCAGACUCCUACGGGAGGCAGCAGUAGGGAAUCUUCGGCAAUGGACGAAAGUCUGACCGAGCAACGCCGCGUGAGUGAAGAAGGUUUUCGGAUCGUAAAACUCUGUUGUUAGAGAAGAACAAGGAUGAGAGUAGAAUGUUCAUCCCUUGACGGUAUCUAACCAGAAAGCCACGGCUAACUACGUGCCAGCAGCCGCGGUAAUACGUAGGUGGCAAGCGUUGUCCGGAUUUAUUGGGCGUAAAGCGAGCGCAGGCGGUUUCUUAAGUCUGAUGUGAAAGCCCCCGGCUCAACCGGGGAGGGUCAUUGGAAACUGGGAGACUUGAGUGCAGAAGAGGAGAGUGGAAUUCCAUGUGUAGCGGUGAAAUGCGUAGAUAUAUGGAGGAACACCAGUGGCGAAGGCGGCUCUCUGGUCUGUAACUGACGCUGAGGCUCGAAAGCGUGGGGAGCGAACAGGAUUAGAUACCCU
This 661-nucleotide ribosomal RNA is filed under the name uncultured bacterium. RNAcentral describes it as "bacterial SSU rRNA". It matches the Rfam family "Bacterial small subunit ribosomal RNA", at positions 140 to 788 of the family's 1533-position model. The record is from RNAcentral.